AUUUACGGCCAUACCACCCUGAGCACGCCUGAUCUCGUCUGAUCUCAGAAGCUAAGCUUGGCCGGGCCUGGUUAGUACUUGGAUGGGAGACUGCCUGUGAAUACCAGGUGCUGUAAGCU
RNAcentral lists this ribosomal RNA (119 nucleotides) under Betta splendens (Siamese fighting fish). Lineage: Eukaryota; Metazoa; Chordata; Actinopteri; Anabantiformes; Osphronemidae. The record is from RNAcentral.